AACAGAGGAUGCAAGCGUUAUCCGGAAUUAUUGGGCGUAAAGUGUCUGUAGGUGGCUUUUCAAGUCCGUCGUCAAAUCCCAGGGCUCAACCCUGGACAGGCGGUGGAAACUAUCAAGCUAGAGUACGGUAGAGGCAGAGGGAAUUUCCGGUGGAGCGGUGAAAUGCGUUGAGAUCGGGAGGAACACCAAGGGCGAAAGCACUCUGCUGGGCCGUUACUGACACUCAGAGACGAAAGCUAGGGGAGCAAAUGGGAUUAGAAACCCCAGUAGUCC
RNAcentral lists this ribosomal RNA (273 nucleotides) under uncultured bacterium. RNAcentral's name for it is "partial 16S ribosomal RNA". It matches the Rfam family "Bacterial small subunit ribosomal RNA", at positions 524 to 796 of the family's 1533-position model. The record is from RNAcentral.